GUCCUGUAGCUCAGUGUUUAGAGCACUCACCUUCCAAGUGAGAGGACCUGGGUUCAAUUCCCGGCAGGGAGAAACA
Molecule: non-coding RNA, 76 nt
Organism: Callorhinchus milii (elephant shark)
Lineage: Eukaryota; Metazoa; Chordata; Chondrichthyes; Chimaeriformes; Callorhinchidae
Source: the annotation of a RefSeq genome assembly